GGGGGAAUAGCUCAGUGGUAGAGCGCUGGAUUCCAGUCCCAGCGGUCGAUCCCCUCUUCCCUCA
This 64-nucleotide transfer RNA is filed under the name Phytophthora infestans (potato late blight agent). It matches the Rfam family "tRNA". From Rfam's summary of the family: Transfer RNA (tRNA) molecules are approximately 80 nucleotides in length. The record is from Rfam by way of RNAcentral. RNAcentral also lists the same sequence under 1 other name. Lineage: Eukaryota; Oomycota; Peronosporomycetes; Peronosporales; Peronosporaceae.